CCUUUUCAAUUCCUUCUAGUAUCCAACUAUCUUCCUAUUUAACAUUGAUAGUUCCUAUUUUAUUUAUUUCAACAAUUCUAAAAUGUAUGGUCUCAUAUUAGCACUAUUCCCGACUUAUGGGGAAUGUAAGUUUUACCCCCCAAAAUUAAGGAGUAUCUUUGGCAUUGCUUAAGAGGGUCCAUCCCUUGUAAAAGCAAGCUCUUGUCACGAGGGCAGCAUACUGAUAUCAGGAGGCGAAUUUUGUGUUUGCUUUGGGGAAUUUGGUUUGCUAGUAACAUUAUCUUGUGGAAUAAAAAAUUUAUGACGGUGGAGCAUCUUGUGCAGUAUGUGAACGAGUUUAUGCGUAGAUGGCUUGGUGCGCAGAGGUUCAUGAAUCUCAGUCAAGGAUCAUGAAUCUCAGUCGAGGCCUUAAAUAGUGGUGGACCGCAGUGAUGAAUGUUGGAAGAAGCUGUCGGCGGGCGGGUAAGCUAAAAUGCAACUCUAUGUAACUCUGAUGUACUAUCUUUGCGCUAGUGGUAAUACGGAUUAGGUUGCGAUGGUGUGUAAUGACGAGGGAAAAUUCGUUCAGUGCAUCUCGGGUUUUGUGAAGAGUACUUGAAUCCUGUUAUAGCGGAGAUAUCGACAGUCCAUGAGGCUCUCUCUUAGCUUCAGUCUUUACAUAUGGAUAAUAAUGUUUGGAGACUGAUAGAUAACAACUUUGGCAAGCUUUUCCCCGCUAAUUUGAAUGCUUUGAAAUCAAAACCAUUGAUCAGGGCUUGUUGCUAUAUCAUUUCUAGUGUCCAAUCUCUAUCCUUCUGCUUGGCUGGAGCGGCUUUGUCCCACGCGAACUGCUUUGAUUGUAUUAUUUGUCCCUUUUCUAUUGGUCACAUUGUUGUUACUGAUAAGUGGGCCAAUCUGGACGAAUACGAGGGGAGCUACGAUUGGGGCAUAUUGGGUGAACCAACCAGCUCGUAUUUAGGUGCUUUCGUUGUUCAUUUGUUAUUGGUCUUCUUGCGUUCUUUUUCUUUAAUGAAUAUUCCUUAUUUUUCUUGAA
This is a long non-coding RNA of Gossypium arboreum, 1033 nucleotides long. RefSeq lists it as uncharacterized. The record is from RefSeq and is a predicted model, not a curated record. The transcript has 2 exons. NCBI's taxonomy places the organism in Eukaryota, Viridiplantae, Streptophyta, Magnoliopsida, Malvales, Malvaceae.